This is a long non-coding RNA of Mauremys reevesii (Reeves's turtle), 528 nucleotides long. RefSeq lists it as uncharacterized. NCBI's taxonomy places the organism in Eukaryota, Metazoa, Chordata, Testudines, Geoemydidae. The record is from RefSeq and is a predicted model, not a curated record. The transcript is spliced from 3 exons.
UGGGUCCCAUUUCAUCUCUGAGAGGCUGAGAGAUGUACAGAGGAAAAGUUUCUAUUCUAUAUCUGUUCUUAUAGUGCACAUGUCCCCUUAGGAUCUGAGUGCCUAUAGAGCUCACCCCUAUUGUUGGUUCAGCUCCCUUCUGGAGGGAGAAACCUAAAGUGAAAGAAAAAUAGAGAGCCAAUGGAAAAGUGAAGGGAGACACUUGGCUGAGGUGGAGGGGAUAGAGAGAAAAAAUAGGGACAGCCUGAGAAGAGUCAGUGUGCUUGGAAAACUGGUUCUAGGUGCUGCUCCCUUCAGAGAUCAAAGUACUGGAAGAUCUUUUGUAUAUGCUAGAGAUGGUACUACCAGAUCCUCCUUUCCUGGAAAUGACCAGAGGAGUCUGCCAUAUUGAAGACAUAAGCCUGUAACUCUGUAGCAUCUGAAGGUCAAAGUUUCUCCUUAUUGAGAGAAAAAUCUUUCAAGUUUGUUCCAGUCUUCCUUAAGAUCUUCUGCUCAUCAUUAACAAUAAAAGAUGUAUUAUAAUUUCAA